AGCAAAGAAGAGGGAGGCUCUAGCCAAGAGGAGGCAAAGGAGACUGCUAUUUGGUGGAUUUGAAGCUUGACCCUUCAAUCUAAAGGAGGAUUAGAGCUCGGAGGAUCGAGCACGAGGGAUUUCCAGGGAUCGUGAGAUACCGAGACACGCGAGGUACCAGCGAUGACCGUGGGAAGGCGCCGGCUUGAUCUGUACACACGUAGGGGAAUUCGAUAUAUUUAUGUGAUCUUGGGAUUUGUAUGAUACAUAUUGGAAUUUGAAACUUAAUGUUUUAUGAAAUUAAACGAGAAAUG
This is a non-coding RNA of Lactuca sativa (garden lettuce), 293 nucleotides long. Lineage: Eukaryota; Viridiplantae; Streptophyta; Magnoliopsida; Asterales; Asteraceae. The record is from RefSeq and is a predicted model, not a curated record.